AAUAAGAUGCCUGAAUAAAAGGAUUAUUUUGAUAGAAUAAAUCAUGUACAUUGUACUCUUAUUA
Molecule: transfer RNA, 64 nt
Filed under: Cleroidea sp. 1 KM-2017
Lineage: Eukaryota; Metazoa; Arthropoda; Insecta; Coleoptera
Description: tRNA-Ile
Source: RNAcentral